GCAGGGAAACAGAUGGACCCACGAAGUCUUGUUGGUGAUGUGGUUCAUUUAGUGUUGAUAUCGUGAGGAUGUUGUUGGAUGAAGUUCUUUCAUCUACUUCACUCUCAGUCAAUGGUGUCAACACUGAUGCAUUUCACAUCACCACGUUGGAGCUCUGACCUCUAGAUAUGAGAUGUCUAGUGUUGCGCUUAGUGUUUGUGCACUGAUACUUCACGGUACCGGUGUACUCUACUUUGUGCAUGAUCUCUUCGUCUAUCAUCUAGAGGGUGAAUUGCAUUGAUCUUCUUCAAUGUUUCAUUCAGAUUGUCUAUACACAGGUUGGUGAAUAGAGUAGCUACUCAUUGUGACUAUCGACUCUUGUAGUCGAUACCAUUUUGAGAAUCGGUUACUCAUCAACGUUCACCAUUCACUUGUGUGUAGUACGACAAUCCAGGGUAAGUAGGUCGGUCAUCCAUCUGACCC
This 462-nucleotide ribosomal RNA is filed under the name Hygrobates sp. n. 1 MD-2019. Its description in RNAcentral is "partial large subunit ribosomal RNA". The record is from RNAcentral. Lineage: Eukaryota; Metazoa; Arthropoda; Arachnida; Trombidiformes; Hygrobatidae.